UACGAAGGGGGCUAGCGUUGCUCGGAAUCACUGGGCGUAAAGGGUGCGUAGGCGGGUCUUUAAGUCAGGGGUGAAAUCCUGGAGCUCAACUCCAGAACUGCCUUUGAUACUGGGAAUCUCGAGUCCGGGAGAGGUGAGUGGAACUGCGAGUGUAGAGGUGAAAUUCGUAGAUAUUCGCAAGAACACCAGUGGCGAAGGCGGCUUACUGGUCCGGUUCUGACGCUGAGGCGCGAAAGCGUGGGGAGCAAACAGG
This 253-nucleotide ribosomal RNA is filed under the name uncultured bacterium. RNAcentral describes it as "partial 16S ribosomal RNA". It matches the Rfam family "Bacterial small subunit ribosomal RNA", at positions 524 to 776 of the family's 1533-position model. The record is from RNAcentral.